GACGAACGCUGGCGGCGUGCUUAACACAUGCAAGUCGAACGGAAAGGCCCUGCUUUUGUGGGGUGCUCGAGUGGCGAACGGGUGAGUAACACGUGAGUAACCUGCCCUUGACUUUGGGAUAACUUCAGGAAACUGGGGCUAAUACCGGAUAGGAGCUCCUGCUGCAUGGUGGGGGUUGGAAAGUUUCGGCGGUUGGGGAUGGACUCGCGGCUUAUCAGCUUGUUGGUGGGGGAGUGGCUUACCAAGGCUUUGACGGGUAGCCGGCCUGAGAGGGUGACCGGCCACAUUGAGACUGAGAUACGGCCCCGACUCCUACGGGAGGCAGCAGUGGGGAAUAUUGCACAAUGGGCGGAAGCCUGAUGCAGCAACGCCGCGUGCGGGAUGACGGCCUUCGGGUUGUAAACCGCUUUCGCCUGUGACGAAGCGUGAGUGACGGUAAUGGGUAAAGAAGCACCGGCUAACUACGUG
This 468-nucleotide ribosomal RNA is filed under the name uncultured bacterium. RNAcentral's name for it is "partial 16S ribosomal RNA". It matches the Rfam family "Bacterial small subunit ribosomal RNA", at positions 28 to 507 of the family's 1533-position model. The record is from RNAcentral.